This 426-nucleotide ribosomal RNA is filed under the name uncultured bacterium. Its description in RNAcentral is "bacterial SSU rRNA". It matches the Rfam family "Bacterial small subunit ribosomal RNA", at positions 28 to 453 of the family's 1533-position model. The record is from RNAcentral.
GAUGAACGCUGGCGGCGUGCUUAACACAUGCAAGUCGAACGGGAUCCAUCAAGCUUGCUUGGUGGUGAGAGUGGCGAACGGGUGAGUAAUGCGUGACCGACCUGCCCCAUACACCGGAAUAGCUCCUGGAAACGGGUGGUAAUGCCGGAUGCUCCAGUUGAUCGCAUGGUCUUCUGGGAAAGCUUUCGCGGUAUGGGAUGGGGUCGCGUCCUAUCAGCUUGACGGCGGGGUAACGGCCCACCGUGGCUUCGACGGGUAGCCGGCCUGAGAGGGCGACCGGCCACAUUGGGACUGAGAUACGGCCCAGACUCCUACGGGAGGCAGCAGUGGGGAAUAUUGCACAAUGGGCGCAAGCCUGAUGCAGCGACGCCGCGUGAGGGAUGGAGGCCUUCGGGUUGUAAACCUCUUUUAUCGGGGAGCAAGCGA